RNAcentral lists this ribosomal RNA (489 nucleotides) under uncultured bacterium. RNAcentral's name for it is "partial 16S ribosomal RNA". It matches the Rfam family "Bacterial small subunit ribosomal RNA", at positions 30 to 507 of the family's 1533-position model. The record is from RNAcentral.
UUGAACGCUGGCGGCAGGCCUAACACAUGCAAGUCGAACGGUAACAGGAAGAAGCUUGCUUCUUUGCUGACGAGUGGCGGACGGGUGAGUAAUGUCUGGGAAACUGCCUGAUGGAGGGGGAUAACUACUGGAAACGGUAGCUAAUACCGCAUAAUGUCGCAAGACCAAAGAGGGGGACCUUCGGGCCUCUUGCCAUCGGAUGUGCCCAGAUGGGAUUAGCUAGUAGGUGGGGUAACGGCUCACCUAGGCGACGAUCCCUAGCUGGUCUGAGAGGAUGACCAGCCACACUGGAACUGAGACACGGUCCAGACUCCUACGGGAGGCAGCAGUGGGGAAUAUUGCACAAUGGGCGCAAGCCUGAUGCAGCUAUGCCGCGUGUAUGAAGAAGGCCUUCGGGUUGUAAAGUACUUUCAGCGGGGAGGAAGGGAGUAAAGUUAAUACCUUGGCUCAUUGACGUUACCCGCAGAAGAAGCACCGGCUAACUCCGUG